Ictalurus punctatus (channel catfish) is the source of this 552-nucleotide long non-coding RNA. Lineage: Eukaryota; Metazoa; Chordata; Actinopteri; Siluriformes; Ictaluridae. The record is from Ensembl.
GAUCUCUGACCCGACUGCUCGCUCUCUAAUGAGUGAUAAACACAACAUGAUGCGUUUCUUUCCUACACCAACACAGCCGUCCAUCACUACUGAGAAAUCCACUGCAUAUGUUCCUCAGCCCCGGCUGUCCGUGACUCCUGAAGUUCUCACAGAGAGAGGAUCAGUGCAGAUUCACUGUCAUGUUCCAGACAAUGUUAAAGUGUCUCGGUGUCAGUUCUACCCAGAGAGAGACAACACAAAUCUAAAACUCUCUCCAUCAUGUCAGCUCUCAGUCACUGGUUCUGAACUGAUCAGGUGGACAGGACGAAGUUCUCCUGGAACACUUCAUAUUACUUGUUACUACACUGUGGAUAACUCUGUUCGUACUCCUUCUCCUCACUCUCUCCCAGCUCCAGUCACAGUGCUGAGUAAGCUCUACAUUACAUGUAUCUUUAUAAUAUAUGUGCAUUCUGUGUAUUAAUAUCUGCUUGAAUCAUAAAAUUACAUUAAUGUUCCUUAAUGCUAUUUUUGGUGUAAUUUAUUAAUUGAUUUAUUUUAUUUAUUCCUCUGCAG